This 1039-nucleotide ribosomal RNA is filed under the name Olpium pallipes. RNAcentral's name for it is "partial large subunit ribosomal RNA". It matches the Rfam family "Eukaryotic large subunit ribosomal RNA", at positions 95 to 904 of the family's 3401-position model. Lineage: Eukaryota; Metazoa; Arthropoda; Arachnida; Pseudoscorpiones; Olpiidae. The record is from RNAcentral.
GAAAGGGGAAGAGCUCGUAGCCGAAUCCUGGGCCUUCGGCCUUGGAAAUGUGGCGUGUGGGAGGCGGCAUCCUCCCUUCCUUGGCCGCGGCGCAAGUCCCCAUGAGAGGGGCUUUUCCCGGAGCGGGUGCUAGGCCCUUACCGCCGCGGGGAGGGAGGGGAGUCGCCGUUCUCCUCGGAGUCGGGUUGCUUGGGAGUGCAGCCCAAAGCGGGUGGUAAACUCCACCUAAAGCUAAAUAAGACCGAGAAGCCGAUAGCAAACAAGUACCGUGAGGGAAAGUUGAAAAGCACUUUGAAGAGAGAGUUCAAGAGUACGUGAAACCGUUUGGAGGUAAACGGGUGGGGCUUCGAAAGCCUAAGCAGGUGCCGGGUUCAAGCCUCGUCGUCGUCGAGUCCGCCUCGGGGAGGCCCCGGGAAGGGGUUACCUGGGCGGAGGAGGCGCGUCGGGGCCGCACGGCCGGAACCCUGCCGACGGGACGCCGCAACGGGUUGGACCGGCGUCGUGGGGCGAGGGGAGAAAGGUGGCCGCCGUUUCUUUAAAGGAUCGGCGGUGUUACAGGCUCCCCUGCUGCCCGAGGGUCGGUCCGACCGUGGAAGAGUAUCUCUCGAAGAGGCUCCGUGCGGAGGCAGCGUAGGUCGCCGGGCUCUCCGCCUUCUCCCUUCUCUACUCUUCGAGUGAGUUGGGAAGGAGGAGGGGUUUCCCCGGGGAGACCUUGCUAGGAGCGCGAGGUUGGCGGCGAGUAGGUCGGGCUCCCACCCGACCCGUCUUGAAACACGGACCAAGGAGUCCAAUGCGCGUGCGAGUCCCCGGGACUUGUUCAGGCCCGCGGGCGCAAUGAAAGUGAAGGGCGUCUCGGACGCCUAAGUUGGGAUCCCCUUUCUUAGGGGCGCACCAACGGCCCUUUCGAAUCCGGCCUCGGAUGGAAGGAGCGAGAGCACGUGCCUUGGGACCCGAAAGAUGGUGAACUAUGCCUGGGCAGGACGAAGCCAGAGGAAACUCUGGUGGAGGUCCGCAGCGAUUCUGACGUGCAAAUCGAUCG